Molecule: ribosomal RNA, 452 nt
Filed under: uncultured bacterium
Lineage: Bacteria
Description: partial 16S ribosomal RNA
Rfam family: Bacterial small subunit ribosomal RNA
Source: RNAcentral
AGCCAGACUCCUACGGGAGGCAGCAGUGGGGAAUAUUGGACAAUGGGGGGAACCCUGAUCCAGCGACGCCGCGUGAGUGAAGAAGUAUUUCGGUAUGUAAAGCUCUAUCAGCAGGGAAGAAAGAAAUGACGGUACCUGACUAAGAAGCCCCGGCUAACUACGUGCCAGCAGCCGCGGUAAUACGUAGGGGGCAAGCGUUAUCCGGAUUUACUGGGUGUAAAGGGAGCGUAGACGGCCAUGCAAGCCAGGGGUGAAAGCCCGGGGCCCAACCCCGGGACUGCCCUUGGAACUGCAUGGCUGGAGUGUCGGAGAGGCAGGCGGAAUUCCUAGUGUAGCGGUGAAAUGCGUAGAUAUUAGGAGGAACACCAGUGGCGAAGGCGGCCUGCUGGACGAUGACUGACGUUGAGGCUCGAAAGCGUGGGGAGCAAACAGGAUUAGAUACCCGGGUACCA